RNAcentral lists this unclassified non-coding RNA (20 nucleotides) under Mus musculus (house mouse). RNAcentral's name for it is "oocyte_clustered_small_RNA5719". The record is from RNAcentral. Lineage: Eukaryota; Metazoa; Chordata; Mammalia; Rodentia; Muridae.
UCCUCCUCAAGCUGCUCCCA